This is a transfer RNA of Aspergillus calidoustus, 82 nucleotides long. It matches the Rfam family "tRNA". From Rfam's summary of the family: Transfer RNA (tRNA) molecules are approximately 80 nucleotides in length. Their secondary structure includes four short double-helical elements and three loops (D, anti-codon, and T loops). Further hydrogen bonds mediate the characteristic L-shaped molecular structure. tRNAs have two regions of fundamental functional importance: the anti-codon, which is responsible for specific mRNA codon recognition, and the 3' end, to which the tRNAs corresponding amino acid is attached (by aminoacyl-tRNA synthetases). tRNAs cope with the degeneracy of the genetic code in two manners: having more than one tRNA (with a specific anti-codon) for a particular amino acid; and 'wobble' base-pairing, i.e. permitting non-standard base-pairing at the 3rd anti-codon position. The record is from Rfam. NCBI's taxonomy places the organism in Eukaryota, Fungi, Ascomycota, Eurotiomycetes, Eurotiales, Aspergillaceae.
GGCCGAGUGGCCUAAUGGUAAGGCGUUGCUUUCCGGUUGCGGAAGCCAGCAAAGAUUGCGCGUUCGAGUCGCGUCUUGGUCG